This 613-nucleotide ribosomal RNA is filed under the name uncultured Campylobacterota bacterium. RNAcentral's name for it is "bacterial SSU rRNA". It matches the Rfam family "Bacterial small subunit ribosomal RNA", at positions 879 to 1498 of the family's 1533-position model. The record is from RNAcentral. Lineage: Bacteria; Pseudomonadati; Campylobacterota.
AGUACGGUCGCAAGAUUAAAACUCAAAGGAAUAGACGGGGACCCGCACAAGUGGUGGAGCAUGUGGUUUAAUUCGAAGAUACGCGAAGAACCUUACCUAGCCUUGACAUAUAUUAGAACUCACCAGAGAUGGAGAGGUGCCUUCGGGAGCUUUUAUACAGGUGCUGCACGGCUGUCGUCAGCUCGUGUCGUGAGAUGUUGGGUUAAGUCCCGCAACGAGCGCAACCCUCGUCCUUAGUUACUAACGGUUCGGCCGAGGACUCUAAGGAGACUGCCUUCGUAAGGAGGAGGAAGGUGAGGACGACGUCAAGUCAUCAUGGCCCUUACGGCUAGGGCAACACACGUGCUACAAUGGCCAGGACAAUGAGAGGCGAUACCGCGAGGUGGAGCAAAUCUAUAAACCUGGUCUCAGUUCGGAUUGAUCUCUGCAACUCGAGAUCAUGAAGCUGGAAUCACUAGUAAUCGUAGAUCAGCUAUGCUACGGUGAAUACGUUCCCGGGUCUUGUACUCACCGCCCGUCACACCAUGGGAGUUGAUUUCACCCGAAGCGGGGAAGCUAAACUGGCUACCCUCCACGGUGGAAUCAGCGACUGGGGUGAAGUCGUAACAAGGUA